ACAUGGUGGGGCAGGGGAGGGUGGUAGGGAGAUGGAAAAAACUGGGAGGUGUUCAGCCACUGGCGACAAGGAGGAGGAAGGUGCCGUCUGGCAUCACCAUGCAGCCCGUUCCAGAUGGCAGAGAACCCACAGCCACUGCCUGGCCAGGUGGGAACAGGAAGGGCAUGGACAGGUCUGGAAGGGCGGACCCAAGCAGGAAGGUGUGACAUCAUCAUCUCAUGGCCCUGGUGCACCCAGCACAUCUGUAGAGAGGCGCACAGCUGGAAAGAGACUUCACUUUUUGCUCUGAAGGCACUGUCCUCCUUUGACCAGAAAGAGGAGGCACAGCAGAAAAACUUCUUGGAGCCAUUGCUCUGGAAUUUGAGGGACAUUCCAUCCUGGCCUGGUGAUAGGAUUGAGCAGGGACUGAGGGAGCAGUAGUCUAGUUCUCAGGGCUGAUACUGUUUUAUUGCAUUUCAAUAAACCUGUAAAACACCA
Non-coding RNA from Heterocephalus glaber (naked mole-rat), 477 nucleotides. The record is from RefSeq and is a predicted model, not a curated record. NCBI's taxonomy places the organism in Eukaryota, Metazoa, Chordata, Mammalia, Rodentia, Bathyergidae.